This 768-nucleotide ribosomal RNA is filed under the name Salmonella enterica subsp. enterica. RNAcentral's name for it is "bacterial LSU rRNA". It matches the Rfam family "Bacterial large subunit ribosomal RNA", at positions 371 to 1142 of the family's 2925-position model. The record is from RNAcentral. Lineage: Bacteria; Pseudomonadati; Pseudomonadota; Gammaproteobacteria; Enterobacterales; Enterobacteriaceae.
CCCCGUACACAAAAGCGCAUGUGCUGUGAGCUCGAUGAGUAGGGCGGGACACGUGGUAUCCUGUCUGAAUAUGGGGGGACCAUCCUCCAAGGCUAAAUACUCCUGACUGACCGAUAGUGAACCAGUACCGUGAGGGAAAGGCGAAAAGAACCCCGGCGAGGGGAGUGAAAAAGAACCUGAAACCGUGUACGUACAAGCAGUGGGAGCACCCUUCGGGGUGUGACUGCGUACCUUUUGUAUAAUGGGUCAGCGACUUAUAUUCUGUAGCAAGGUUAACCGAAUAGGGGAGCCGGAGGGAAACCGAGUCUUAACCGGGCGUUAAGUUGCAGGGUAUAGACCCGAAACCCGGUGAUCUAGCCAUGGGCAGGUUGAAGGUUGGGUAACACUAACUGGAGGACCGAACCGACUAAUGUUGAAAAAUUAGCGGAUGACCUGUGGCUGGGGGUGAAAGGCCAAUCAAACCGGGAGAUAGCUGGUUCUCCCCGAAAGCUAUUUAGGUAGCGCCUCGUGAAUUCAUCUCCGGGGGUAGAGCACUGUUUCGGCUAGGGGGCCAUCCCGGCUUACCAACCCGAUGCAAACUGCGAAUACCGGAGAAUGUUAUCACGGGAGACACACGGCGGGUGCUAACGUCCGUCGUGAAGAGGGAAACAACCCAGACCGCCAGCUAAGGUCCCAAAGUCAUGGUUAAGUGGGAAACGAUGUGGGAAGGCCCAGACAGCCAGGAUGUUGGCUUAGAAGCAGCCAUCAUUUAAAGAAAGCGUAAUAGCU